Molecule: ribosomal RNA, 423 nt
Filed under: uncultured bacterium
Lineage: Bacteria
Description: partial 16S ribosomal RNA
Rfam family: Bacterial small subunit ribosomal RNA
Source: RNAcentral
GAAUAUUGGACAAUGGGCGAAAGCCUGAUCCAGCCAUGCCGCGUGUGUGAAGAAGGUCUUCGGAUUGUAAAGCACUUUAAGUUGGGAGGAAGGGCAGUAAGCGAAUACCUUGCUGUUUUGACGUUACCGACAGAAUAAGCACCGGCUAACUCUGUGCCAGCAGCCGCGGUAAGACAGAGGGUGCACUCGUUAAGCGGAAUUACUGGGCGUAAAGGCUGCGUAGGUGUUUCGUUUAGUUGGAUGUUAAAGCCCCGGGCUCAACCUGGGAACUGCAUCCAAAACUGGCGAGCUAGAGUAGGGCAGAGGGUUGUGGAAUUUCCUGUGUAGCGGUGAAAUGCGUAGAUAUAGGAAGGAACACCAGUGGCGAAGGUGACCACCUGGGCUCAUACUGACACUGAGGUGCGAAAGCGUGGGGAGCAAACA